This is an RNA transcript of Lagopus muta (rock ptarmigan), 1072 nucleotides long. RefSeq lists it as uncharacterized. The record is from RefSeq and is a predicted model, not a curated record. The transcript has 6 exons. Lineage: Eukaryota; Metazoa; Chordata; Aves; Galliformes; Phasianidae.
UGAGUGAUGGAAGGGCUGGAGCCAGGAUCCACCCCUUUCAGUCCUCAUUUAAGGGCUGGCAAUGGAGAUGUGGGUAUCUUUCUUUGGGGGUUUCUGUGUAUCUGAGGUCUCUUGAAGGACAGGACAAUCUGAGAAGAUUUAGCCAAGAGAAAUCUCCAUGCCAGUGAGUACUCAAUUCAAGCAUGGUCUCCCAGUGAGCAGGGAAGACACAGAGCUGCACAAUCACUGCCACAGCACUGAGGGUCAAACACUCAUCUGUCUCCCAGCUGAGCUGAGCAAACCCAGGUGGGAGGAAACAAAGAGAAAUAACGAAUUAAAAGAUCUCAUCUGGACAUUUAGAGGAAGUCACAGGCUCAUGGACUUGUGUACAUGUUAUGGCUUCCUGCAGUGCAUCCGUCUCUGUGGAGCUGUGAUUACAGCAGAUGGAUGUGCGGGGCUGUGUGCUCUCCUCAGAUGCACUGAGGACCUCCUUUCAGGCUGACCAUUUGACUCAGCCUGAGUCAGCAGCACGAAGGCAAUGCGCUGUGUUUCCUCAAGCCUUGUGGCAGCACACUGCACCAGGGAAGCACUGUGGUCAGCCAGAAGUUCUUGGACAGACAGUGGGAGUUAAGUGCAUGAAAUCCAACACUCCAUGCUAUAUACCAGAGGUCAGGCCCAGGGUCCCUUCGGAUCCAAAGCACAAAUGCAGCAACUGUUUCCCACCAAGAAAGCCCUCCAAAGCCUGUUUCUGGAAAACGCAGAGCAGAGGCAGAAUGAGAUGGGAGAACAAAGUCAGCCUAAUGGACACAAAGCUCUGCGAGUCGACAUCUGAUGUCAGUGCUUAUGGACACCGAGGCUUGGCUCAGCUGCAGGGCCCAGCAGUGGCAGCCCAGGGUGCUGGUCCUUGUCUGACCCCGCUGUGUUUCACAUGCUGUUCUCCUCUGGGCUGAGCCAGCUCAUCCCGCUCGAAACUCUGACUGAAAACAUCAUCUAAAAACAGCUCCUCGUGCUGGUGCCCAGGGGGGAGGAGAAGAACUCAGCAGGCACAGAUGGAGCUGCAAUAAAUAGCGGAGCCGACGGGACGGGGUGGGAU